Molecule: ribosomal RNA, 507 nt
Filed under: uncultured fungus
Lineage: Eukaryota; Fungi
Description: SSU rRNA
Rfam family: Eukaryotic small subunit ribosomal RNA
Source: RNAcentral
AGCAGCCGCGGUAAUUCCANCNNNAAUAGCGUAUAUUAAAGUUGUUGCAGUUAAAAAGCUCGUAGUUGAAUUUCGGGAUCAAGGGAUUGGUCAUGCCUUGGUAUGCACUGGUCUUAUUGGUUCUCACCUUCUAAGGAACCAUGAUGUCAUUCAUUUGAUGUUGUGGGGAAUUAGGACUGUUACCUUGAAAAAAUUAGAGUGUUUAAAGCAAGCUUACGCUUGAAUACAUUAGCAUGGAAUAAUGAAAUAGGACAUCAGAUUCUAUUUUGUUGGUUUCUAGGAUCGAUGUAAUGAUUAAUAGGGAUAGUUGGGGGCAUUAGUAUUCAAUUGUCANAGGUGAANUUCUUGGAUUUAUUGAAGACUAACUACUGCGAAAGCAUUUGCCAAGGAUGUUUUCAUUAAUCAAGAACGAAAGUUAGGGGAUCGAAGACNAUCAGAUACCGUCGUACUCUUAACCAUAAACUAUGCCGACUAGGGAUCNGAUGAUGUUAAUUUUUUAAUGACUCA